This 429-nucleotide ribosomal RNA is filed under the name uncultured bacterium. RNAcentral's name for it is "bacterial SSU rRNA". It matches the Rfam family "Bacterial small subunit ribosomal RNA", at positions 355 to 775 of the family's 1533-position model. The record is from RNAcentral.
CUAAGAAUCUUCCGCAAUGGGCGCAAGCCUGACGGAGCGACGCCGCGUGGACGAUGAAGGCCGUAAGGUUGUAAAGUCCUUUUCUCUGUGAGGAAUGAGGGUGGGAGUGGAAAGCCCAUCUGAUGACGGUAACGGAGGAAUAAGCACCGGCUAACUACGUGCCAGCAGCCGCGGUAAUACGUAGGGUGCGAGCGUUGUUCGGAGUUAUUGGGCGUAAAGGGCGUGUAGGCGGCUUGAGAAGUCUGGUUUGAAAUGCACUGGCUCAACUGGUGCGCUGGGUCAGAAACUGGCAGGCUAGAGUUCAUGGGGAGGAGCUGGAAUUCCAGGUGUAGGGGUGAAAUCUGUAGAGAUCUGGAAGAACACCGGUAGCGAAGGCGAGCUCCUAUGGAUGGACUGACGCUGAGGCGCGAAAGCGUGGGGAGCAAACAG